CGUAGGGUGCAGGCGUUAAUCGGAAUUACUGGGCGUAAAGCGUGCGCAGGCGGCUCCUUAAGUCAGAUGUGAAAGCCCCGGGCUUAACCUGGGAACUGCGUUUGAAACUGGGGAGCUGGAGUGUAGAAGAGGGGGUGGAAUUCCAGGUGUAGCAGUGAAAUGCGUAGAGAUCUGGAGGAACACCGAUGGCGAAGGCAGCCCCCUGGGCUAACACUGACGCUCAUGCACGAAAGCGUGGGGAGCAAACAGGAUUAGAUACCCUGGUAGUCCACGCCCUAAACGAUGUCAACUGGUUGUCGGGGAAGUAAUUCCUUGGUAACGAAGCUAACGCGUGAAGUUGACCGCCUGGGGAGUACGGCCGCAAGGCUA
Molecule: ribosomal RNA, 369 nt
Filed under: uncultured organism
Description: bacterial SSU rRNA
Rfam family: Bacterial small subunit ribosomal RNA
Source: RNAcentral